AUACAUGCAAGUCGAACGCUUUGUGGUUCAACUGAUUUGAAGAGCUUGCUCAGAUAUGACGAUGGACAUUGCAAAGAGUGGCGAACGGGUGAGUAACACGUGGGAAACCUACCUCUUAGCAGGGGAUAACAUUUGGAAACAGAUGCUAAUACCGUAUAACAAUGACAACCGCAUGGUUGUUAUUUAAAAGAUGGUUCUGCUAUCACUAAGAGAUGGUCCCGCGGUGCAUUAGCUAGUUGGUAAGGUAAUGGCUUACCAAGGCGAUGAUGCAUAGCCGAGUUGAGAGACUGAUCGGCCACAAUGGGACUGAGACACGGCCCAUACUCCUACGGGAGGCAGCAGUAGGGAAUCUUCCACAAUGGGCGAAAGCCUGAUGGAGCAACGCCGCGUGUGUGAUGAAGGGUUUCGGCUCGUAAAACACUGUUGUAAGAGAAGAAUGACAUUGAGAGUAACUGUUCAAUGUGUGACGGUAUCUUACCAGAAAGGAACGGCUAAAUACGUGCCAGCAGCCGCGGUAAUACGUAUGUUCCAAGCGUUAUCCGGAUUUAUUGGGCGUAAAGCGAGCGCAGACGGUUAUUUAAGUCUGAAGUGAAAGCCCUCAGCUCAACUGAGGAAUUGCUUUGGAAACUGGAUGACUUGAGUGCAGUAGAGGAAAGUGGAACUCCAUGUGUAGCGGUGAAAUGCGUAGAUAUAUGGAAGAACACCAGUGGCGAAGGCGGCUUUCUGGACUGUAACUGACGUUGAGGCUCGAAAGUGUGGGUAGCAAACAGGAUUAGAUACCCUGGUAGUCCACACCGUAAACGAUGAGUGCUAGGUGUUUGAGGGUUUCCGCCCUUAAGUGCCGCAGCUAACGCAUUAAGCACUCCGCCUGGGGAGUACGACCGCAAGGUUGAAACUCAAAGGAAUUGACGGGGACCCGCACAAGCGGUGGAGCAUGUGGUUUAAUUCGAAGCAACGCGAAGAACCUUACCAGGUCUUGACAUCCCUUGACAACUCCAGAGAUGGAGUGUUCCCUUCGGGGACAAGGUGACAGGUGGUGCAUGGUUGUCGUCAGCUCGUGUCGUGAGAUGUUGGGUUAAGUCCCGCAACGAGCGCAACCCUUAUUACUAGUUGCCAGCAUUCAGUUGGGCACUCUAGUGAGACUGCCGGUGACAAACCGGAGGAAGGUGGGGAUGACGUCAAAUCAUCAUGCCCCUUAUGACCUGGGCUACACACGUGCUACAAUGGCGUAUACAACGAGUUGCCAACCCGCGAGGGUGAGCUAAUCUCUUAAAGUACGUCUCAGUUCGGAUUGUAGGCUGCAACUCGCCUACAUGAAGUCGGAAUCGCUAGUAAUCGCGGAUCAGCACGCCGCGGUGAAUACGUUCCCGGGUCUUGUACACACCGCCCGUCACACCAUGAGAGUUUGUAACACCCAAAGCCGGUGGGGUAACCUUCGGGAGCCAGCCGUCUAAGGUGGGACAGAUGAUUAGGGUGAAGU
This 1480-nucleotide ribosomal RNA is filed under the name Weissella confusa. Its description in RNAcentral is "bacterial SSU rRNA". It matches the Rfam family "Bacterial small subunit ribosomal RNA". The record is from RNAcentral. Lineage: Bacteria; Bacillati; Bacillota; Bacilli; Lactobacillales; Lactobacillaceae.